AUUGAACGCUGGCGGCAUGCCUUACACAUGCAAAUCGAACGGUAACGGGCCUUCGGGUGCCGACGAGUGGCGAACGGGUGCGUAAUACAUCGGAACGUGCCCGAUCGUGGGGGAUAACGAGGCGAAAGCUUUGCUAAUACCGCAUACGAUCUACGGAUGAAAGCAGGGGACCGCAAGGCCUUGCGCGGACGGAGCGGCCGAUGGCAGAUUAGGUAGUUGGUGGGAUAAAAGCUUACCAAGCCGACGAUCUGUAGCUGGUCUGAGAGGAUGAUCAGCCACACUGGGACUGAGACACAGCCCAGACUCCUACGGGAGGCAGCAGUGGGGAAUUUUGGACAAUGGGCGCAAGCCUGAUCCAGCCAUGCCGCGUGCAGGAUGAAGGCCUUCGGGUUGUAAACUGAUUUUGUACGGAACGAAAAGCCUUCUUUUAAUACAGGAGGGUCAUGACGGUACCGUAAGAAUAAGCACCGGCUAACUACGUG
Molecule: ribosomal RNA, 482 nt
Filed under: uncultured bacterium
Lineage: Bacteria
Description: partial 16S ribosomal RNA
Rfam family: Bacterial small subunit ribosomal RNA
Source: RNAcentral